Molecule: ribosomal RNA, 450 nt
Filed under: uncultured bacterium
Lineage: Bacteria
Description: bacterial SSU rRNA
Rfam family: Bacterial small subunit ribosomal RNA
Source: RNAcentral
AACGAACGCUGGCGGCAGGCCUAACACAUGCAAGUCGAGCGGGGACUUCGGUCCUAGCGGCGGACGGGUGAGUAACGCGUGGGAACGUGCCCUUUGCUUCGGAAUAGCCCCUGGAAACGGGGAGUAAUACCGGAUGAUGACGUAAGUCCAAAGAUUUAUCGCCUAAGGAUGAGCCCGCGUAGGAUUAGCUAGUUGGUGAGGUAAAGGCUCACCAAGGCGACGAUCCUUAGCUGGUCUGAGAGGAUGAUCAGCCACACUGGGACUGAGACACGGCCCAGACUCCUACGGGAGGCAGCAGUGGGGAAUAUUGGACAAUGGGCGAAAGCCUGAUCCAGCAAUGCCGCGUGAGUGAUGAAGGCCUUAGGGUUGUAAAGCUCUUUUACCCGGGAUGAUAAUGACAGUACCGGGAGAAUAAGCUCCGGCUAACUCCGUGCCAGCAGCCGCGGUAAU